This is a long non-coding RNA of Pleuronectes platessa (European plaice), 2004 nucleotides long. RefSeq lists it as uncharacterized. The transcript is spliced from 3 exons. Lineage: Eukaryota; Metazoa; Chordata; Actinopteri; Pleuronectiformes; Pleuronectidae. The record is from RefSeq and is a predicted model, not a curated record.
AGGCAGAGAGAGAGAGAGAGAGAGAGAGAGAGAGAGAGAGAGAGAGAGGUCAACACAACCUCAAGGUUGUAACACAGUAUAUGUGUGGGUGUGACUGGGUACUGAGCCACUGACUUCUGGGAAUAAAACAACGUUACAGGCCAACUGGCACCAGUGGAAAAUAACGCAACCGACACAAUUCUGAGGUGAUGGAGGCCCAUCUGAGCAGAGACCAAGCUAUCAAGGCCUGUACAGCCAAAACAUCUGUGGUGAUGGGACCUCUGGGUGACGACCUGGCAGUCAUCAAACAACUCAGGAAGGAGCAGACCAAACUCUGGCUGUAUGUUUAGGGUCAUUGUCCUGCUGGAAGAUGAACCUCCGCCCCAGUCUCAAGUCUUUUGCAGACUGCAUCAGAUUUUCUUCAAGGAUUUCCCUGUAUUUGGCUCCAUCCAUCUUUCCCUCUAUUCUGACCAGUUUCCCUGUACCUGCUGAAGAGAAGCAUCCCCACAGCAUGAUGCUACCACCACCAUGUUUCACUGUUGGGAUGGUGUGCUCAGGGUGAUGGGCACUGUUGGGUUUUCGCCACACAUAGCGUUUUGCAUUGAGGUCAAAAAGUUAAUUUUGGUCUCAUCUGACCAGAGCACCUUCUUCCACAUGUUUGCUGUGUCUCCCACAUGGCUUCUGGCAAACUCCAAACGGGAUUUUUUAUGGAUCCCUUUCAACAAUGGCUUUCUUCUUGCCACUCUUCCAUAAAGGCCAGAUUUGUGGAGUAGACGACUAAUAGUUGUCCUGUGGACAGAUUCUCCCACCUCAGCUGUGGAUCUCUGCAACUUCAUCCAGAGUAACCAUGGGCCUCCUGGUUGCUUCUGAUUAAUUUUCUCCUUGUCCGACUCUUCAGUUUGGGUGGACGGCCUCCUCUUGGUAGGUUUGCGGUUGUGCCAUAUUCUUUCCAUUUUCUUAUGAUGGAUUUUAUGGUGCUCAGAGAGAUGUUCAAAGCUCUGGAUAUUUUUUUAUAACCUAACCCUGCUUCAUAUUUCUCCACAACUUUAUCCCUGACCUGUUUGGUGAGCUCCUUGGUCUUCAUGAUGCUGUUUGUUCAGUAAUGAUCUCCAACAAACUCUGAGUCCGUCACAGAACAGGUGUAUUUAUACUGAGAUUAAAUUGCAGACAGGUGGACCCUAUUUACUAAUUAUGUGACUUGCAAAUGUGACUUGUGAAUGCAAUUGGUCGCACCAGAUCUUUGUUAGGGGUUUCACAGUAAAGGGGGUGAAUACAUAUGCACUCAACACUUUUCAGAUUUUUAUUUGUAAAUAAUUGUGAAAUCCAUGUAAUAUUUCCCCCCACUUCCAAAUGAUGCACUAUUUUGUGUUGGUCCAUUACAUAAACUCACGAUGAAAUAAAUUUUAAUCUGUGGUUAUACCAUGACAAAAUGUAGAAAAGUCCAAAGGGGGUGAAUACUUGCCUCGGCGAGGGUAUUGCACCUAGUACAGUAAAUAUUUGCAGAGGCAUCAUGCCACAUUAAAUCCAUUGGUUAGUGUGUGAGUUCCUGUCAGAGGGACAGGUGAUAGAUGGGUAUCAGUGUGACAAAGUUCAGGUCAAACGCUUCGAGGUAAAUAGUUUUGGUUUUUGGCCUUAUCUGCAACGUCUAUGUGAGAUGUAUGCAAAUUCUUCCAGCUUAUCGGCUGAAUCUGUGGGGGAUAUGCUGAUCUGUCACAAAAUAGAUAUGAUGGUGACAGGUUUAUCUAACAAAUACCUCAGAGAAUUUAAAACUGGCAGAGCUAAAGAACAGUUGGUGACACAUUGAUGCUACGAGAGCUUUGCCAGAACUUGUGUUACUUCAAAGAAGGAGGAAGAUGAUGCCACGGAACAGUACAGCCUUACUUAACACAUGAAUUCCAAAACUUCUGUGAACUUAUACACACUUAUGAAAUCCUACUACACAAAAGCUAAAUGCAACCAGGAGAAAUAGUUCCAAAUGUCACACACCCAUGUGUUCAAUCUGUUUUCUAAAAAAAAAAACUUCUG